RNAcentral lists this ribosomal RNA (253 nucleotides) under uncultured bacterium. RNAcentral describes it as "partial 16S ribosomal RNA". It matches the Rfam family "Bacterial small subunit ribosomal RNA", at positions 524 to 776 of the family's 1533-position model. The record is from RNAcentral.
UACGUAGGGUGCGAGCGUUAAUCGGAAUUACUGGGCGUAAAGGGUGCGCAGGUGGUCGGGUAAGUCUGACGUGAAAUCCCGCAGCUUAACUGCGGAAUGGCAUUGGAUACUAUUCGGCUAGAGGGUUGGAGGGGGGACUGGAAUUCUCGGUGUAGCAGUGAAAUGCGUAGAUAUCGAGAGGAACACCAGUGGCGAAGGCGAGUCCCUGGACAACUCCUGACGCUGAGGCACGAAAGCUAGGGGAGCAAACAGG